UACGAAGGGAGCUAGCGUUGUUCGGAAUCACUGGGCGUAAAGCGCACGUAGGCGGAUUUGUCAGUCAGGGGUGAAAUCCCGGGGCUCAACCUCGGAACUGCCUUUGAUACAGCAAGUCUUGAGUUCGAGAGAGGUGGGUGGAAUUCCCGGUGUAGUGGUGAAAUGCGUAGAGAUGCGGAGGAACACCGAUGGCGAAGGCAGCCCCCUGGGCUGACACUGACGCUCAGGCACGAAAGCGUGGGGAGCAAACAGG
Molecule: ribosomal RNA, 253 nt
Filed under: uncultured bacterium
Lineage: Bacteria
Description: partial 16S ribosomal RNA
Rfam family: Bacterial small subunit ribosomal RNA
Source: RNAcentral